UACGUAGGGGGCAAGCGUUGUCCGGAAUUAUUGGGCGUAAAGAGCGCGUAGGCGGUCCGAUAAGUCGGCUGUGAAAGUCAAGGGCUCAACCCUUGAAAGCCGGCCGAUACUGUCGGACUAGAGUCCGGAAGAGGCGAGUGGAAUUCCCGGUGUAGCGGUGAAAUGCGCAGAUAUCGGGAGGAACACCGAUGGCGAAGGCAGGUCUCUGGGCCACUACUGACGCUGAGAAGCGAAAGCAUGGGGAGCGAACAGG
Molecule: ribosomal RNA, 253 nt
Filed under: uncultured bacterium
Lineage: Bacteria
Description: partial 16S ribosomal RNA
Rfam family: Bacterial small subunit ribosomal RNA
Source: RNAcentral